RNAcentral lists this long non-coding RNA (22089 nucleotides) under Vitis vinifera (wine grape). RNAcentral's name for it is "long non-coding RNA (VVIN_LNC001674)". Lineage: Eukaryota; Viridiplantae; Streptophyta; Magnoliopsida; Vitales; Vitaceae. The record is from RNAcentral.
AAACAUUAGAAAACUAUUUUUCUUAAUAUAUUUUUUUUCCUUAUUACUUUCCAACCAAACAUAGCCUAAUUUAUUAAGAAUAUGAAGAGGCAAUAACUGAUCUUCCUGCAUUCAAGACUGCAUAUCUUUAUUACCCUGAUUCGAAUUUCACAUUUUACAUUGUUUUGCAACCAUAAAAUGAGUUCAAAACUUCACUCCCAAAGCAUUUCAUUGUGACUUCAAAUGGAGAUACUGUAUGGAACUCCCUUUCCUGUCACACCAGCUCCAGAAAAUGGCUUCAGAAGCUCAUAUGGAACCACUCCAGCUCCGUGUCUGUUCUUCAAAUUCUUGUCUUCAUUCCUAGCAUCAAUGAUUCCUUCAAUUUCUUUCAACCUUCCAGAAAACCGUUCAAAUGCUGCCUUUAUUAAGGGAUCUGCACCCCAUGCUGGCUCCAAAUGCUCCCCUAGGUAUUCCUCAUCUGGAGAAUGACUUGAUAACACAUCUAAAACAGUCAAAACUUUUGCUGCUUGAAGCUGUGUAGGCAGGCAUGCCAAGAGUUCAUUCUCAGGUUUGUGCAAAAACCGGCGCCAUCCUUCUUCAGUUGGGUCCUCAGAAGGGAGGUUGGUCCUGGCAAUAGUAGGCCUAUUGGGGAAGUAACCAGCAUAAGCAUAUUGUCCAAAGUUGACGGCAGCAUGGUGCCCAGACGUUACCCAUACCAUAGUUGUGACAAUCCCAAUUAGGUCUUGGGGUGUUUUGAGGUCUGGCCACCAUGUUUCAUCUUUCUUGUCCUCAUGGCCUCUUGUUCGGAUUUCAGUCCACCAUGCUUGAAGCUCUGCAUCAGACUUCACCAUGCUCGCAUCCUUGUAGAAGAAAUUGACAUAAUCGGUAACCCAUUCUUUUAUGGCAUCCCACAGGAGGAGACCAUCAUUGGCAAAAGGAUAAUCUGGGAUUGCUAGCUUUAGGCCAUGUGGAGAACUUGGGUCCUCAACAGCAAUUCCCCUGGCAUUACCAAAACAAAAUUGUUAAUUAGCAAGGAGACUCGGUAGGAAUUGAAUCUGUUUUAGCCCUCUCUUCCUCACAAAUAAACCAUUAGUUUAUCAUCUAGGAAACGGCCAACAAUGUAAAUCAACUAGUAUUAGUACUCUAAUGACCAAAAGAGAGCAUAAUGACAAAAUCGUUUUAGGGCAACUAUGACCAAGAGUGAAUUCACCGAUUAGUAUAAGUACGAUAUUGCAAGCUUGCCCUCAAAAAUUUAUAUUUGCCAUAAGUAGGAUAACUUGGGGGAUUCUGGCUUAAUAUGUACCUGCUUAUUAGGUCUGCUGGCAGUCCUUGUGUAUCAAAGCGCCACUGCAGGCCAUAGGCAGCAGAGCUGAUCUCAGUAGAAUACUUUCCGGGUGUGAAUGCGGACUCAAUGAUCCCAUCAGCAUUGAUGAGAGCUUCUCGAGCAAGAGCAUUGAUCUCCAUUGUGUACCGGAAAUGAGGGUGUAACAGUCUAUAGAUUGGGUGCAUUGCACUAAGUUGUCGAUUCGUUGCAAUUAUAUAAGGUUCUGUUACACAGUGAGUUCUCAACCUGCAAAAAUAAGCAAAGGAGGUCUCAUGUUAGCUCACCGACAUUCAUGAAGCUUAGUCUGCAAAAAACUUCUCUGAAAAUGUUUUCCAAAGAGAAGUGGAAAAAAAUGAAGAAAUAAAUUAAAGAAAAAAAAUUGAUAAGUUUGUUUUAAGUGCAAAUAAUUCUCCAGGCAUUAUUCUGAGAAGAAAUGAAAGGCAAUGGCAUUUACCAGUGACUAACAAGCUGGUGAUAACCAGCGUCAUGAGCAAGGAAAUGAGUUUUAGCAAGUUUCCAGAGCCAGGAACCUGUGGCUUCCCAGCUAGGCGUAAACACUUGCUUCCACUGCGGCUUCCCAUCCAUGGGUGGUCGGACGAGUUCGAUGGCCAGCGGCUUCAAUGUGUUAUCAGGGCCUAGGAAGAAAAGUGCCCUUGAUCCAUACAGCGUUGUCCCUUUGAUUUGCCUUACUUCGCUCACGUAUGGCAAUAAGAUGUCAUGAUAAUCUAUGAUGAACAGCUUCUUUUGUUUUAGUGCCUGCAUUCAUUCAUGUACUCACUUUUACAUAGUUCAACUGGGAGAAUGAUAAAGAGGAAGAAGAGACAAAGAAGAGAAGUACAUACCUCAUCAACGGUCAUGAAUCCUUUGAUCUCUCGCUCGACUAUCUCCGUGGUGAUUGCAGAUUCAGGGGGACCAUAGAUCUUAGGAUCGAGUGUGCUCUUCAAUGGCCAUUCCUGCGUGAUUUAAUGCAACUCUUUUGUCAUACAUGGAAACUGAUAAGUUCAUUGUAAUAUACAUCAAGCUAGAGUGAUUAAUAUUUAACAAUAUAUGAUCCUGAAGCAAAUUGAUCAUUUUCAUACCUUAACCAAUUGUAUACUAUAUGGAUUGAGACCGGCAAGAGUCUGGCGUGAGAACUCCUCAUCCCUAAACCAAGAAAAUUUGUCCCCUGCAAAUGCAAAAACACAUGAGAUUGAGAGAAGUCUUAAAAAGGGAGUAUAGAUCUUGAUGAGUAAAGGUCUUUUUCUUACUGAGCAACAGUUGAGGGGUUUCAAAUUGCAGGAGACUAUCUGUAGAAUUAGUGAUGGCCCUCACUAGUCUGGGCAGUAUAUCUUGCAAAACCUUAUGCUUUUUAAGAUUAGGAACAUUGAUUCCUUCAUUGUAUAACUCGUCUAUUUUGGUGAAGAGUGGAAAUCCAAGACUAGUGUCUGUAAUCACUGACUCUAUUGCCGGCACCACAGCGUGCAACGCUGAGUAUAACGUAUUUGUAGAGAAUGUUAGCUCCUUCACGUCCGAAAAUGCUUCGUCCCUUGGCACAUAGACGGUUGAACUCCUUGUCUCUGCUUUCGGGUCUGCAUGUAUCGAUGGCGGUUGCCCAUAUGAGUAAAUUAAGUUUAAAUCAAACAAUUCUGAAUGUACAUAUUUUGUUGUCAAAGUUUAAGUUUAAGUUCUGAUUCUCGUACCAAUCUUAGACAUUGGACGCCCCGUUCUACAUCGUCUUGGGUAGGGAUACUGCUUGCUACCACCAAGUACCGGUCGAGUCAGUUCAGGACUGCUGUCUGGAUCACCCAGAUCAUCGUAUACAUCAUAGUCAUAGAUUCUAUCAUAUGACUUGCGCUCUCCUUGACCAUUACCUCGCAAGGUUACAAGCUCUUUUUCUCUUAUUUCUUUGAGUCCACUUGGUGUUUCCAAUGGUAAGUAUGACUACACAAAACACAGAUAAGUAGAUUAAAUCCUAAAAAGUACGAAACAUCAUGGAUGAAUGAGGUAUUGAAACCUCAUAAUAAUCAUUUUCAUAAUACUUUAACUGUCGAAUAUUUGAAAAUCAAUUAUAAAUAUCAAAUCUUAAAAAUCCGGCUUGUAAAUAUCAAAAAUGAUUUAAAAAACUUAACUAGUUUUGUGGUUCAAUGAGCAGUGCUGGUUACUUUCGAAAGCAUGGUUAUAAGAUCAUGUUUGGAUGUAUUAACCGAUUUGAGGACUACUUCCAUACACUUGUGAGGACUACUUCCAUACACUUGUGAGGUAUUAGCCAUUAGAUUGACUUUUGUAUCUUCUUAUUCUUCUCAUCUAUCCAGCUUUUGAAAGCAACCAUUACUGCCUGUGGAGCCACACGCCUUGAUUUUGUUCCACAGACAUAUCGCUCUACCUAUUGCCUAAGCCUUGACUCCAAUAUCCGGCUACCUCCACCAUAUCAACAUCGGUGUAGGCAGAAAAUGUGUCACACCAAUAUUUGUGGCAAAUAAUAAUAAUAACUUAGGAGGUAUAAGAUAAAAUUUAAUAUUUAUUGUUUAAUUAUAAUCUAAAUUAAAUUUAAAUUAAAUUAUAUUUAAAUUUAUUAACUUUUACUUAUUUUAUAAAAUUAACUUAAAAUUUAUUUUAUAUCAUCAAAUUGACAUAUUUAUUUUUAUAAAUUAUAAUUAGAAUAAAAAAAGUUGAAUAACAACCUGAAAUAAUAAUAAAAAUUGAUAAAAUGAUUAAGACAAAUGGAGGUAAAAAAAUAAAAUAAAAAUAUAAACUUAAAAUAAGCUAAUUAUUUCUACUUAUUAUUUAAAAUUAUUUUUUAUUUUAAGUCAUAUCAUUAUAUUAUUUUACUAAACAUACUUAAUUUAGUUACUGAUUUAAAAUUAAAUUAUUAAAUCACUUUAAACUACUAAUUUGAUUUAUCAACACCUAUUUAAUAAAUGAUUUGAACUUAUUUUUAAUUUGAAUGGUUGAUAUUAUAAUUAAAUGAUAUUAAGUUAUAAUAAAUAUAUAUAUUAAUACAAAAAGAAUUAAAAAAAAAAAAAAAAAAGCUUCUUGAUUAAUUUUUAUUCUCCAAUUAAAAGUGGCUUUUGAUAUCACAUAAAAAUAAAAAAAAAUAAAAAAGCGCACACACACACACACCAAAAAAUGGGACAUCAAAAGGACUGAUUCAUUGUGGCUUGUGGUCCUGAGGAGACCCUCUGAGAGAAAAUUAUGGGAAAAAUAGUGGUUUUGUAAAGCCGGAUCCAAUCAAAUAAACGGACUCCGACUCAUCACUGAAAAUGAAAAGAAAACGAAGCAAAAGAAGAAUCAAAGCUAGAUUGAAAAGUAGUAGAAAGGACGAAGCAUGUGAUAAGUGUCACUUGAGGGCCACCCGAUGGUGAAAUUAAAGCCUUGGGACCAGUUUCGCUUUAACCUGUCCUACACAGAUUUUUAGGGACCAUAUGUUCGAACCAACAGAGGUAUUCGAUGGAAUUAAAGAACAUUUAAAUUCAUGAGAGGUUGUGGAACAGAUCCGAAAGAAAAAAAAAAACUGAGAUUUUUAAAACAAUUCAUUAAAAUCCUUCAAUAUUUUCAAAAAUAGUUAUCUAAAACGAUUUUGGGUAUGUUUGAUUGUUGUUUUUGAAAACUAUUUUUUGAAUAUUUAAAAAAAAGAAAAAAUUGUAUUUGGAAACUGAAUUCUGAAAAACAGUUUUUAUUUUCAAAAACAAAAAAUAUAUAUUUGAUUAAAUUAAUAAAUAAAAAGUUUAGAAUAAGUAAAACAUAAAAUAUGUUUUAAAAUUAUUAUUUUUAAUUCAUAAAGUGUUUUCUUCCAUUAACUUGAUAUUAUAAAUAUAUAAAUAAUCUUCGGAUGCACAAUUUAUUUAAAUUAAAAAAAAUUAUUUUAUUUUAAAAUUUUUACACCAAUUAUAAUUUUCUUAAAUAAAUGAUGACUUUAUUAUUAUAUAUAAGUAUAUUAAUUUCAAUAAUUUAAGAAAGAAGAAAAGGUUUACUGAUGGGGUGUGAUGGUUGGGUGGAACUCACCUUUGUAAAAACAUAAAAACAACUAAGAAAACACAAAAAGAAAUAAAAGAAAAUACGAAAAACAAUCUAUUUUUUGAACAAUAAAAAUAUUUUUUUUAUUGUUCUUGAAAAAGUGAUUUUUGAGAACACAAAAAACAAAAACACAUCCCCUUCUUCAAACAAAUUUUUUAUGUUUUUUGUUUUUAAGAACAUAAAACAAUUCUUGAAAACAAGAACCAAACCGACCUUUUUAUUCUUAAAAAAAAAAUAAACUAUUUUAAAAAAUUUUCUUUUAAUAUUGUUUAGUUUAUUUCAUUUAUUUUUUGAGAUCGAUUUUAAAAAAUAAGUAUAUACACGUAUAAAAUUAUUAAAAAUAAAAUAUUAAAUUUAAAAUUUAUUUUUAAAUUAUUAAAAACUAUGUUAAAACCAUUUCAGGUUUUUAAAUAAAUUUUUAUUUUAUAAAAUAUAAAAAAAAAUGUUGUAAAAAAUUAUUUUUCAAAACUCUUUCCGUUUUAAUUAAUCUGGAGUCGUGUAGCACCAUGAAACAUAGGGUAAAAAAAAUUAUCAAUGCAAGUAAUGAAGAUGGUUGAUGGCUAAUUACCUUGUUGGUGAAGAAGACCCUCUUCUGAGGGUCAUCAAACUUGGAAGCAACCCAUGAACUACAGUUGAAUUCAAUGGGGCCAUUUGGGAAGCCAUCAAGGACUAUGUACCUCAGGUACAUCUCCUUGUGGUGCUCAUUCUGAACAAGAACCGCACCAAUCUCCCCAAAAUCAUCAGGAAUCACAAAGUCUGAUUCAUAUGUUACUUCCCCGUCCUUUUCGGCAGCCCGAUGAGCAUAUGCGCCGAUGGGUUUCUUCUCUAAGCCCGUCUCUUCACAAAAAUCAUUAACGAAAAUAUCAGUACUUAAUCAGUGGAUUUUACAGUUCUAACAAACAGGCGAAAGAGCAUUUGAUAGAGAAAAGAAUAUGUGGAAAAGUGUUUUGUCUUUUCAGCAUUAUCAAUUGCUCUGAAAAUGGAGGUAUGAAAUCAACACCAGCCUAUAGUAUAGAAUUUAGGUAUGGUGAAAUACUUACUGGGGUCAACCUCUGAACUGACGACCUCCAAGAGGAGUGUUUUACCAAGCCAGUCAGAUACAUCAUCGAGCCCAUGGCUCAACCCUAUCAGGCUAGACAAGAACCCUCCAACUGUUAAUUUCACAGUAACAGUGGCCUUAACAGAUACGGACUUCCGGGUAUCAGUAUCACUAGCAACUGCUUUAAUGUUGGCAGGGACGUAGCCAACCCUAACAUUCCUGUACUUUUUUCGGAAUUCCGGCCUCGGCCUGACGGAAAAUGAAGCAGUUCCGGGGCCGGGAAUGCACGGUUUGUUCAACAGGAAGAAGGUCGGGGCAGUGUGUGACUGGUGGACCUGAGUCUUGAACAUAUCUCCAGCAGGGAGAAUGGUAGAUGAAAGGCUUAAUUCGCUUUAGGUAUGAAAUCUCUGGGGGCUAAUAUCUCUUUAUAUAGUGGAAAUCGGUGAGGAAAAGCCAUGGCUUUCAGGAGAUAUUCCACAUGUUCAACGAUGGAAAAUAAAAACUUAGAUGAAGCGUAUUACUAGAUGAAUUUUGUCCUCAUAUGCAAUAAUUCGAUCCAAGAUGCCACAUAAAGAUUAUUGUUCACAUUUAGAUAAGGAUUUCUAAAGUAUGAGUCUCCGAUUUAUCUGUGAACAUAAAUUUUUAGGACAUUAGCAUAUUUUCAUUCAGACUAUCAAUUUUUAUAAGAUUUAGAUUCAAUAUACAUAUCAUGCUCCUUUACAUCCUCGCAGAGGAUUUGAAUAUAAAUAUACAUAUCAUGCAUGAACACAAGACUUCUUAUUAAACUAAACUCUGAUACCAUAUUAAAUUAUCAAUUUUUCUAAAAAAUUAAGUUUAUAAAAUUUGGGUUCAAUAUAAAAAUUAUACUCCUCAACAAUUUUAACAAUUGUAUUGACCUAGUACAACGAUUUUGUCACAAUAGUGAUGCAAUGUAGAUUAGCCAUUGGAUUUGGGCAUGUUAUGAAGGUUCAACUCAAUAUGUUUUAUUAUUUUUAUAGUACGUUUGGAACAUUGAGAAAGCAUGGAAUUAGAAAUUGAAUUUAUUUUUCAUUUAUUACAACCAAUUUUGAAUCAUAAUUAUAAAUGACAAUAUAAAUCAAAUAUUUACUUAGACUAUAUUUGGUUGCCGAAAAAUAUUUAUAAAAGAAAAAAAUGUUAAGAAAAAUAGUUUUCUCAUAUUUAAUUUUAUCAUAAAAAAUUCGAAAGAAAAUCAAAUAUAAUUAAAAUUAAUUAAAAUAUUAUAUAAGUAAACUAAGUAAAAUGAAUUUUUUUUUUAAAACAUAUAAAACAAUUUAUGAACUUUGAAUCUAUUUUUUAUUCUUUUUUUUUCUUUUCUUUUCUUUUCUUUAGUGUGUUGUUUUUAUUUUCUUUCCCUCCUAUUUUUCUUUAAAUUUUCGACUGUGAUUCGUUUUUAUUUUUUAUUUCUAUUCCUAUUUUUGUAAACAAAAAAUCUCCAACAAUGAUGCAGUAGUCCAUCUCUUUCAUGGCAUGUGAUGCUGUAGUCCAUCUCUUUCAUGGCGUGUGAUUACCGCAUGAUAUGCUCAUCUUUUGGAAAAGUCUAUGUCUUUUAAGAGUGGCCGAAACAUUAUCUGUGAAUGCUGCAUUCUGCACUUUGAUGGACAUUGCCCGGAUGAGGGAAAAAAACACUUAUCUGUCAUUAAGCUGAAAAUUAAGCUCUUGGUUAGCAUAAAUGACUUUGUAUUCAUUUAAGGCAAUUUUUCCUUUUUUUUGUUUGAAUGCGUAGAAAAUGAGAAGAAAAUAAAAUUAGAAUGAAAGCUAAACAAACCAAAUCUUUCAUAAACAUCGAUGUAUAAUAAUAAUUUCGGUGACGUGUUCCUUACCUGAACCACACAUUGAAGUUGGGUGAAAAAACAGUAGGUUGCCUUCAUAAUGGCGCCAGCGGCUCAUCAGUACAGCCUCUGAGGCUAUGCCAGAUAUGCCAUCUGAAACCUGCCAUAUAGGACUGUCCCUCAGGGCCCCAUCCUCAUGCCAGCCUUAUCUAUUCAAAGUUAAUAAUAAUACAGUCACUGUUUUGUACGCCAGCAUGCGUGUCAAGAUGAUAGAAAAAUUUUCCAUCAAGCCCUCCACCGAAAUUGAAAUCUUAAUUUGUUCAGACACGGAGGGCUUUAGUGCCCCUCUUGUCUGUUCAUUUUCAUCGGUUCGGUAUGAUUAGUCAUCUAGUUUCUUCCACGUGUCUUUUGACGGGAGCAACUUAAUUAUUGAAGUAGUUCAUCAUAUUGUCUGAAAAUCAAUUUAUUAAUAGGCUAAUUUUUUUUUUUUUUUUUUUUUUGUAUGGUUGAAGUCGCUGAAACUUAAAAUAAUUUCAUAAUUAAUAUUAAGUUUAUGUUUGGUGAGUAAAAAUUACUAAAAAAAGAAAAAAAUAUUUAAAAAAUUAUGUUAUAUAAAAAAUAUAAAAAAAUCAAAUAUAAUUAAAAUUAGUUAUAAAAUUAUAUAUAUUUUAAAUUAUUUAAUUUUUAUAUUAAUAAGUUAAAUAAGUUUGAAGUAACAAAAAAAAAAAAAAAAAAACUUUAAAAUCUCUUUUUUUUUUUUCAAUUUAUUCUUUUCUUCUAUUUUUUUCUCUUUAUUUUUAUCUUUUCAUUUUCUCUUAAAUUUUCUAAGAACCAUGACCUAAGGGUUUACUUUUAGGAGUUGGCACCAAAUCCUAAACUAGUAAAGUCUUAGCCUUGUUUUAUAAAGUAAUAUCAAACCCCAAGUAACAUGAUCUUAGUUUACUUUUUGAAGUCAAUACAAAACACACCAAUUUCGUAUCUUUGCAAAUCUAACAAAUCUCCCACUCUCUACAAGAGGUCCUAAGGCGACUUAGUUUUAACAACUAAUUGACUAUUGAUUAGGUUAGUAUAAGUGAACCCAUGACUUGGUACCGAUACCACAUGCUUUGGUAAAAGCAUUAUGACCUAGUUUUGAUGUCAUUUGUUAUGAUAAAAGUGUUAAUCAUUAAAAGUUACUUCUCAUGAUAAACACAUUAAUCAUCUUAUCUAAUAAUCAAUCGGCUAAAAGCGUGAUCAAAUUAAACCUCUUUAUAUGAUUCAACUUACACCAAAUCAUCGAACUUUAAAUCUAAAUCACAUCGAAUCUCAAGUUCUGCAUCAAUCUUGAGCUUGUUCUUUGAAUCAUCAUUACUUAAAGAAUAGCAUAGUUAUAAAACAUAACUAAUCUCUCCCUUAACAUAGUUCUCCCAUAAGUUGAAUCUAUCACUUGUUAAGACUCCGAAGUAGAAAUUUUAAACAAAUCGCUUCCAAUAUGAUCACUACUAGAAUUUUUUCAUUUGAUCGUAUUUAAUAAGAUUAUUAUUAGAAAUUUUCACUUUGAUCAUUGUCAGUAAGAUCACUGUCAUCACUACUAGAUUUUUUCCUUUUGAUUUACCAAUCUCCCAUAAUUGCUUAAUCAUUGACUCAAAAAUGUUGGCUUGUUGAUGCUUUGGCUCAUAGGGAUGAUGAUCGAGGAGGAACAAGGCAUAACCGUUGGAAGGCAAACCUCAACUACUCACAAAUAACUUAUGCCUUACAUAUCUCUAAAAAUCAUGUCUCCUAUGCUAGAAAAAAAAACAUCUUAAGCUUAAUUAUCACUAUAUGUGCGAAAAUAUGACAAACAGAUUGCUCAUUACUAGACAUAUUCCUUUUAUUUCUCAAAUUGUUAACAUAUUCACCAAGUCUCUUCCAUGCCACUCAACUUUUUUUUUUUUCAGUUCACCUUAAGAGGUCAUUGCAUUCCUCUCUACGGUUUGAGAGUGCAUGAUAAGACACCAAAAUAGAAAGUUAAAACAAAUCAUUAUUAGAACAGAGCAUUAAAAAGCAUGACUUAAUAUAACAUAUUUUGAUUUUAUUAAUAAAUUUUGUUUGUUUAUGAUUUUGGUUCCCUUUACUAUCCUACUUGCUAAUUGGUUAUUAUGAGCAUUACUUGUCUAUCACUUGAAUUGUACAUGACUUGGUUGCAUUGAGAAUUAUAAAAAAAAAAAAUUCAAGUCAUAGGUUCCUUACAAGAUGAUAAGAAGUUUACAAUCAGUUCAUUAAUAUGGGCAAUCUAGUAGAAAAUAAUGCAUUACCUCUUAGUUGAAGGGAUUACUUAUCUUGAUCAUUGAGAUAGUUUUCCUAUUAUGAGUGCACUAGUGUGUAUAGUUACGCAUUAGAUGGAAUUUACAAUAAAUUAUGACAUUAACUAUCAAGUAGUCAUAAUUCACUAAGCUAUUAUACUACAUAAACUCUCAACCUUAGAGAAUAUUAGGCAUCUGUUGAAAUCAAUAAGAUACUUUGAUCUAUUGGUAAAAUCUUAAAGCAGUUAUAUAUUCCAUACAGAUUUAAUCACUGUUAAUGGAAGUUGGUCGCAAUAUGCAUUCUCGAUAGAGGCACUAUGACAUCAUAUGAGAUUGAAAUAAUAUAUCCCAUUAAGUAACCAUAAGUAUAUAUGAUUAGGAAAACUAUGAUUGUAGUAAUUCUUUAAGUAGAAUUUGACACAUGUCUUUUGUGAGUUAAAGUACGUCAAUUGAUUAGAGGAUCUGUAACUCAAAGAAUGAAAAGAUAAUCUUAAAAGAUUGAUAGCACAUGCCUCAUUAGAUUACAAACACCAGUUCAUAUGGAGUUUGCAUGCAAUGGAUAAUAGAUCAUAAAUACAAGCUUAAUUUGUCUCGUUGUAAUAUCAUAAGAUACAAAAAUGCGGUUGACUCUAUUUAGUAGAAUGUUGAGUCAACUUCAGAAUUAGAUUCUAAAAGAGUCAUUAUUUUCCUAUAGGUCUUAAUGAUAUUUGUCUAAGUUCUCGAUUCAAGGUGGUAUGUUUAUUUGAGGUUAUUUUAGGUUUGUAAUUCAUAAUUUUAAAGAUAUUUUGAUAAAAACGCAAGUUUACAUAUGAUCUUAUGAAUGAAAUCUCUAGACUGAGCUAAUUAAUUAAUGAAACUUAAUAGACUAAUUAAUUAAUUAGAACUUAAGUGGACUAAAUUAAAUAACUCAAGCCUAAGUUCAGCUAAAGUCACUUAAGUUCAUAGAAAAACCUAUAUAAACUCUUAGAAGUUUAAGGCUUCAACUUUUACCAUUGUCUUACAAACUCCAAAGAGCAAACCCUAACCUCUCUUCUAGAGAGAAAUCCACCCUUCUUUCGUGUCAAGAUUUGUGAAAUGAGUAGAAAAUCAAUCAGUUUAUGAGAUCUACAACGCCUAAGGAAUAUCUUCAUCAAAUUAAAUUUGAUAUGGAAAAUUGCAAGUAUAAGUUUUUAUCUUUAGAUUUAUGUCAUAUUAUGGUUUUGAUUGCUAUAGGUUUUCGUUAUGUUAAAUUUAAAGAACCUAAUAUUAGAUAUGCAUGCAUCCUACAAGAUUCAAGGUCAAAGAAUGAAGUAAUUUGAAGUUCUUAGUAAUCACUGCUAACAAGGUUACUAUCAUCAUUGCCAAAAAUAUUCCCUUUGAUCAUUGUCAACAAGAUCACUACCAGAAUUUUUCAUUUUGAUUAACCAAUCUUCCUUGUUAUUGCUCAAUCACUCUAAUUUCUAAAAUUCCUUCCUGGGCAGCAUUCCUUAAACAGCCUUCCGACGUCUAUUUUGAUGCACUUGUAUAUAUUGCCAUGAUUGAAAUAAGUCUAAGUUGGAAUACUUCUUAGUCCAUUCUCUUAUGCUUAUAUUGUUCUUUUAAUACUUGUUUACAAAUUCGUCAUCACUUGCCUUUCAUUUGUCAAAAAAAGUCUUAACCAUCUUAUUUGAAAAUUAAUUAACUACAUACAACAUCAAGCUAAACUUUUUUAUAUAAUUCAAGUGAUCACUUCAAAUGCGGUUAAAACAAACACCAACUCUUAACGCGAUCUUAUAAUUCGGUGCUUAUUUCUUAAGCCCAAUAUCAUGUCAAGUUAACACAAUCUCGACUUUUCUUCUCAAGUCAAUACAAUAUCGAGCUUAGUUUUCAAGUCCAACAUCAAAUCUCUAACAUAUCUAAUCAUAGGGGCUAAUACAAUCCCAACUUGCUUGUUUUGCAAACCUAAAACAAAAAAAUAGCUUUAAUUUUAUUAAAAUCCAAAUACAGCUCAUGGGAUUAAAUACCUCAAAAAAAUAUCUUAGCAAAAAUACAACCAUCCAACUUAUCAUCAAAGGGACAUUUGAAAGUAAGCACAAAAAGAAAAAAAAAAAGUGGUUUAUAACUAAAUUCCUUUCAACGUAAUGAUAAAAUGCAAAGCAAUUGUCAUGUCUGACUGAGACCUGAGAAGCACAAGCAGACUCCAGGACAAAAUCCAAUCAACGCAAUCUGCUAGAUGAAGGACCAAUGAGAUUAAAGAUCCAACCGAUUGAUCAGUAUCAUCCAAUGAGGUGGGACAUCUUACUGUUCAUCACGUGGUGUUUUUGGCCUUCAUGAUGGACCACCUAACCAUGGCUCCAUCCCAUUUUGAAAGAAUAUUGGACCACACAUCUUGUGAUUUCAUUUAUCAUAGAAAAUAUAUGAAAAGAAAUAUAUGGGUUGAUUCAUUGUAUUCAAAUUACGUCUUUUUUCUCUGUAUGAAAUCCAAGAAAUGGAAUCCACAAGUUCUUCCCAUGUUCCACACAUCUUGGUUGGCAUCAUCUUCAGAAGGAAACAAGAGCAAUAAAUCCUAGAAAAACGUGGAGAAAAUAUUUUCAAAUCCAUAACUAAGAAGAAAAGUUUAUCACGUAAUUUGAUUUGAAACAUUUGAAUGGACGAUUUUUAAAAGUUCUUUUGAGAAAAAAAAUCCAAACAAAAAUCGUUUUUUCAAAGAGAUGAUUUUUUUUUUUUAACUAUAGGUAAAAUUUGUCUUUUGAAGAAUUAAUUUCUAAAAUUUUUUUUAAAAAAAAAUCCAAAAAGCCAUGUUUGAAAUAAUUUUUUAAAUAUUAAUUAUAAAUAGCAUUUGAAAAUUAAACAUAAUUUUUUAGAGCAUUUGAUAUUUUAAAUAAAAUUUUGAAUCAUAAAAUUUAAAUUUUUUUAAUGUGAUGUAUCCGUCUCGUAAAAAAUAUGGACACUUGUAUUUUUCCUUACAUAUAAAAUUAUAGUUGUUUAUAAAAAUAAUUUAAAAUACACUUUCUAGAUGUAAAAUUCAAAUAAUUCCACAUUAAUAAUUACUUUUAAGUUUAUUAAUAAUACAAAUUAAGUUUAUUUUUUACACUAUUAAAAUAUUAAGAAUGAUAUUAUGAGGGUGUUUGAUAAAAUUUAAUAUUUAAUAUUUAAUAAUUUAAAUUGAUUUUAAGUUAAAUUAUAAUUAAGUUAUUGAUUUAAAAUGUACUAUUUAAUUCUUAUUUUAAUUAUUAAGGUUGUAUGAUAAAGUUAACUUAAAAUUUAUUCUAAAUCAUCAAAUUGAUAUAUUUAUUUUCAAAAAUUAUAACUAAGGAAAAAGAGGUUGAGUAACAAUGAAGGACAUGAAAUAACAAAAAAAAUCAUAUAGGUAAUUAAGAUAAAUAAAUGUAAAAAUAUAAAAUAAAGAUGUUGAUUUAAAAGCAAAAUAAUUAUUUUUACUUAUUAUUUAAAAUUAUUUUUAAUUUUAACUCAUACUGUUAAAUUAUUUUACUAUACUUAAUUAUUUAAAUUAAGUUAUUAAGUUACUUUAAGUUAUUAAAUUGAUUUUUCAAACAUCCACUAAUUCUAAGGAAUAGAGUCAUAUAAUAUGGUAUAUUGAUAAUGCAAGAACUUAAAUUGUUUGUCAAAAGACCAUCAAUGUAUAUCAAGUGUAAAUUUUGUAAUAAAAUAAUAUUAGUAAAAUUUGUCAUCCAUAACCCCUCAUAAAGUAAGGAUAUUUUUUAAAAUAAUUCUAAUUGAGAACCAUUUUAAAAAUAGUUCUGAAUUAUUCAAGAAUUAAAUACAAAUAAUGGUUUAUUAUAUAUUUAUAUACAAAGUAAAAGUUCAAUUAUUGUUAAGAAUACUACAUAAAAUAAUUGAAAAUAUCCUAAAUUAAUUUAUUCUAAAAAAUAAGUAACCUGUAAAAUAAAUUAUUAAUAAAGCUAUUUUCCAUCAAAAAUUUGGAAAAUUGUUUUCUAAUAUAAAGAAAUUAUUUUUUAAAAGAGUAUUCAAACCAACUUUAAAUCCCAAUGUUAUAUUUGUUAAGGGAGCAUGAUAUUCAUAUUUAACCUAAAUCAUGUAAAUUUAAAGCCUUAGGAAAAUUAAUAAGUCAAUAUAGUAUCAGAACUCUUGAUAAGAGGUCUCGAGUUAGACAAAUUUUCUAUAAUUUAUAUUUCUCAAAUUUGUAAGUCGGAUACCGAAUUCAAAUUCUAUUUCUCCUCCAAUUUGUAAUUUUGAAAAUCCGUAAAAUACACAUAUCUUGUUUGCUGGUUUAAGAUUAAUUUCAUUCAUCUUUUAUAUUUUAGUUAAAUACAUUUAAUUUUUAAAGGUUUAAAAUUUCAUCAUACACUAUUCUUAACCUAAAUCAUGUUAACUUAAAACUUUAGGAAAAUUGAUAGGUCGAUACAAUAUCAGAACUUGAUUUGAUAAGAAGUCUCAAGUUAGACUAUUUUUCCAUAAUUUAUAUUUCUCAUAUUUGUAGAUUGGAUAUCGAAUCUCAAAUUCUGUUUCUCCUCCAAUUUGUAAUUUUGAAAAUCCGUAAAAUACACAUGUCUUAUUUGCUGAUUUAGAAUUAAUUUCAUUCAUCUUUUAUAUUUUAGUUAAAUACAUCUAAUUUUUAAAGGUUUAAAAUUUUAUUAUACAGUUAUUCUUAAAGAAUUGAGAGAUGAAAAAUCAAAAUAAAUUUUUAUUUAAUAUUAUAUAUAAUCGAGAUAAAAUAAAAUCAUCUCCGAUUCUAAAAAUUUUCUCAAAUUUAUCCUAAAUUGGGUUACAUUUUUCUCAAAUUCGUUCUAUUUAGGUGAGAUCCGGCAAGGGGUGGCCAAAAAAAAAAAAUUGCCUUCUGGAAGGACAUGAAUUAUCUUGGAGGUGGGACCACCUUGCCCUCUCGUCGUUUGUGGAUGGUCUCACCGUUUAUGGAUUGAAAGGAAAGUUACAUCACAAUAUACAAAUCACGCGCUCUUAGAGAGGGGAAUCUUUGUGUCACAUCAGAAAAUAACCAUCUUAUCUUACCCACUUGUUAUCCAUCGACACGUGUUGUACUAUCGGACUUGAAAUAUGUUUAAAACGUUUUUGAUUUUGACAAUAAAAAACACAAAAAAAAAAAAAAAAAAGGUUUGAUAAGGAGUUGAGAAAAAAAAAUUCCUUUUCUUGAAAUAAAAAAUAAGGGAACGUUUUUUGAAAAUUAUUUUUUAAUUUUUAUAGAAUAAAAAUUUGUUUAAAAAUCUAAAAUAUUUUUAAUUAUGUUUUAAAAAUUAUUUUUAUGUAUAAUAUUUUAUUUUUAAUUAUUUCAUAUAUUUAUAUAAUUAUUUUUUAAAACAAUCAUAAACAAAUAAUAGAAAAUAAUUAAAAAAAUAUUAUCUAAAAUUGCCUCAUAAAAACAUAAAACAUGAAAUAAUUUUUUGUUGUCAAAUAUAAUUUUUUUUUGUUUAAAAGAAUAUAAAUUGUUCUAAAAAUAGUUAUCAAAUUAGUCCUAAGAUAUUUUUUAAAAACAUCACUUGUUUUUUUAUUAUCAUUUUAUAAAAUAAUUAUAUAAAUAUAAAAAAAUAAUUAAAAUAAAAAUAUUACAGAUAAAAAUUAUUUAUAAAACAUCAAAAAUAUUUUAAAUUCUCAAAUAAAUUUUUAUUUUACAAAAAACAUCGUACAAUAGUUUUUAAAAAUUAUUUUUAUUUUUUGAAAGAAUUUACCGAUCUUAAUAAUUUUCAAAGAAUUAAUUUUAUUCCUUGAUAUAUAAAUAUGCUAAAUCAUCAUUAAUUUUAAAUUUCAUACCCUUAUAAAUAUAACUUUUUCUUAUAAAGUUUAAUUAAUAAAUUUUAUUUUCUAAAAAAUAAAUUUUAUAGACAAAAUACAUAUAAAAAGUUACUUAUUAAUAAAAUUUGAAACUCACACUAAAUCCCAUAAUGAUGUAAAUGAAAUUAACUCUUAUUUACGAAGGAUUGGAGUGUAUGUUAUUUUAUAUUUAUGAAUUUAAAAAUAUGUUUUUGUUUUUGUUUUGUGAUCAAACUAUUUGAAUAUUUGGAAACAUUUACCUUCAAACAUUGUUUUUUAGUAUUUAAAGUGCUUUUCAAAUUUUAUUGUUAAUUAAUAAUUUCUUUUAUUUUUAAUAAAAAACCCUAAUAUAUUGACAAUACCCAACAAACAAAAGACACCAUUCAAGCACAUGUAAAGGGAGAUAUGGGGAGACCAACAUGAUAAGAAAGUGAACAAUUUUAGCUGUCCAACCCCACAUCAUCAAUGAAGUCAAUAAUAUUAUGCUUAAAUUUAUUGAGUUGUGCUUGCUUUCUUCAAUGUAUAAAAUAAUUUUUAUUUUGAAAAAUAUUAGACGGUGUGGUGAAUUUGAUAGAAAAAGUAAAAAAAUAAUAAUAUGGUGAUUGAAUUCUUUUGUAACAAAAAUGUGACACUUUGACAUUGUUUAGAAUUCCUAGCCUAAAAUUGAGUUGGGUCUAUUGGGCCCAAACCAUAAUGCCCGCAACCUAAAACUUCAAAACCCAAAGUUGAAACCUCAUUUUAUAAAACACGGUUUCAAAAUUUUAAAAUUUAAAAAUAAAAGUGCAAUCAAAGAUAUCCCAAAUUAUCGGAGGAUUCUACAUCUACAUAAAUUUUAGGAUUUACGUUGUUUGGUCGCUAAGAAUGGAAAUGAAACAAAAGUCAAGAAAACAAAUUAAGAGUAUGUUUGUCAAUGGUAUUGAAAAUAUUAAAAAUGUAUUUUAAAACUAUCGUCAAAUAUAUUCUAAGUUUUAUGUUAGUUUAUAAAUUGAACGGGUUAAUUUGGGUUGAUAGCUAACUUAAGCUCAAUCCAAAACAAGAAACAUUCUACUCAAUUUCAAUCCAACUCAACUUGUAUAGUGUCUAAGUGAUAAGUAUAGAGUUGAAUCUAAUUUUCAUAGAACAUGAAAACAUUUUCUUUUAUCUUAUUUUCGUUUAUUUUUUUCUGGAAGCAUUUUUCAAAUUAUAAAGUAGAGCAAGCGGUUGCCGCCUUGUUUAACAAGCCUUCCAAAGGGCGUGAGUGUUAUUAUCAUUUACUUUCUCUGAGGGUAUUGUUUGGUAGCUGAGAAAAUAGGCGAAACAGGAAACAAAUAGUUGACAAAACAGAAAAACAGAAACCCAAAUUUGUGUUGUUAUUGUCGGCAAUCAAUCAGAAUUUCAGGAGUAGCUCUUUGAAAUGAAAAGAUGCUACUCCACCUUCAAAAAACCGUUAAAUUCAAACCAGCUACAGCUCUUUUCACUUGAGUCCUGCAAAUCAAUGAACCAAAUCAAACAAACCCAUGCGCAUUUGAUCACCACAGGGCUCAUCCUACACCCGAUCACAGCAAACAAACUCCUCAAAGUGUUGAUAGCUUCGAGCUUUGGCUCUCUCUCUUAUGCCCACCAAUUGUUUGAUCAAAUUCCUAAACCCGAUGUCUUUAUUUACAACACCAUGAUCAAGGCUCAUGCAGUUAUACCCACUUCUUCGCAUAAUUCCAUGAGAAUAUUCCUAUCCAUGGUCCGGGUUUCGGGCUUUUUGCCCAAUCGAUACACGUUUGUUUUUGUUUUCAAGGCGUGUGGUAAUGGAUUGGGGGUUUUGGAGGGGGAACAAAUUCGGGUUCACGCCAUUAAAAUUGGAUUGGAGAGCAAUUUAUUCGUUACCAAUGCGAUGAUAAGAAUGUAUGCGAAUUGGGGCCUGGUUGAUGAGGCUAGAAGGGUGUUUGAUUGGAGCUUGGACCAGGAUUUAUACUCUUGGAAUAUUAUGAUUGGUGGGUAUGUUGGGUCGGGUGAAAUUGGUCGAGCUAAGGAAAUGUUUGAUGAAAUGAGUGAACGGGAUGUGGUGUCAUGGACUACUAUAAUUGCCGGUUAUGUUCAGGUAUAACACUGGAACCUGGUUUUACCUUUCAUUCAUUCACUGCCUGAAUUGUGUCUCUUUUUCUCUUUGGCGAAUGCUACACAAGUUGGCUUUCCAUUUUUUAGGUUAUGCGGGAAUUUCUUUUCACCAUGCCUAUUGUUGUGUUACUGAUUUUAACCAUGCUUUUGAUGCAUCAACAGAAAGAGCAACGCUAUUCACUUCGAAAAUACUCUGUUUGGCUUCUAUAAAUGCACAUGGUGGUUAAAUAUCUAUGAUUUCGAAUAAAAUUUUAUAGCUCAAUAAGUGUGUCAAAGAAGCAAACCAAAGAGCCUCUUUGGUAAAAAUCUCAUUUUUGUAAAAGGAAAUGAGCAGUUGUUGAAGUUUCAUAACAUGGAAUAUAGUUUCCAUUCAACAAUGGAGAACAUUUUUUGACAAAACUUUUACCUUUAGGUAGGUUGUUUUAAGGAGGCUCUGGAUCUCUUCCAUGAGAUGCUGCAAACAGGUCCCCCACCAAAUGAAUUUACCUUGGCAAGUGCCCUUGCGGCCUGUGCUAAUUUAGUGGCAUUGGAUCAAGGAAGGUGGAUACAUGUUUACAUUGACAAGAGUGAGAUCAAGAUGAAUGAGCGAUUGCUUGCUAGUCUCCUAGACAUGUAUGCAAAGUGUGGAGAGAUUGACUUUGCUGCAAAAGUUUUCCAUGAUGAAUAUGGUCUGAAACUCAAGGUUUGGCCUUGGAAUGCCAUGAUUGGUGGAUAUGCUAUGCAUGGGAAAUCCAAAGAAGCAAUUGAUCUUUUUGAACAAAUGAAGGUUGAGAAGGUUUCUCCUAACAAAGUCACAUUUGUUGCAUUAUUGAAUGCUUGCAGCCAUGGAAAAUUGGUUGAGGAGGGAAGAGGUUACUUUAAAUCGAUGGCAAGUUCUUAUGGGAUUGAGCCAGAAAUAGAGCAUUACGGGUGUAUGGUGGAUCUACUUGGGCGUUCUGGGCUCUUGAAAGAGGCAGAGGAGACUGUAUUCAAUAUGCCAAUGGCUCCUGAUGCUACUAUAUGGGGGGCACUACUCGGUGCUUGUAGGAUUCACAAAGAUAUCGAGAGGGGACAAAGAAUAGGAAAAAUCAUUAAAGAAUUGGAUUCUGACCAUAUUGGUUGUCAUGUUCUACUGGCUAAUUUGUAUUCUGCAUCUGGGCAAUGGGAUGAAGCAAAGGCUGUGAGACAGAAAAUUGAAGUUAGUGGUAGAAAGAAAACCCCAGGUUGUAGCUCCAUUGAGUUGAAUGGAGUGUUCCAUCAGUUCCUCGUUGGAGAUCGGUCUCACCCCCAAACUAAGCAGCUCUAUUUGUUCUUGGAUGAGAUGACUACUAAGUUAAAGAAUGCUGGUUAUGUUCCUGAAUUUGGAGAGGUGUUGCUUGACAUUGAUGAUGAGGAAGAUAAGGAGACGGCACUAUCAAAGCACAGUGAGAAGUUAGCUAUUGCUUUUGGGUUGAUCAAUACACCACCUGGAACCGCAAUACGCAUAGUGAAGAACUUGAGAGUCUGUGCAGACUGCCAUGAAGCAACAAAGUUCAUCUCCAAGGUCUAUAAACGGGAAAUAAUUGUCAGAGACAGGAUUAGGUAUCACCACUUCAAAGAUGGAUUCUGUUCUUGUAAAGAUUACUGGUGAAGACAUACAAAAGGAUGUCAGUGCUCCUCCAUACAUAACCUGGGAAAGUUUGGUUGAGGACACGACAAGCUAAAAAACACAUGUGGUUGCAGAGAUGGCUAUCUGUUGAGACUGUUUUUGCAUUGGCUCUCACUUAAGGAGUUGAAUUCAAGUUGGUCAUCAGUGAAGCAGAUCAUUCUAUUCAAAUUUUAGCCGAGGGAGCUACUUCGAGAAGUUAGGUAGCAGAUCCUGAAACCAAUAAAGAAUAGACCCUGAAGCAGGCAAGCGAGAGCACGGUUGUGAUCGAGAAUUAUUUGGUGCAUGAAACAUACCAUAUAUGUGUUCGAUAUCAUUUAUUUUCAUGUUGAGUUCCAAAUCUUCUCAAGUAUUCUUUUUCUUCUUUCAAACAGAGAAGAAACUGGUAUCUGUUACCUUUGCCAAUUCUGGAAUUAUGUGUAUGUGGGCUUUUCUCCUUGCUGCCCAAAUUCUGUGUUCUGGUCUCCAAAAUGUUGAUGGUUUAUUUCACCCUUUGCCUUGCAGUUUGAAGUUCUGGAUUCUUAGCAUUUUUAAUCUUUGGUUCAUUUUUCUCUGUGUUUUCUUUUCUUUUCCUUUUUGCCAAAUGGUCAUACCAAAAGCCUCUUUCACCUAAUUAAAUCACCUGAAAUGAGCCCAUAGACUAGCAUCUUCUGAAUAAGUGCAGCUGAUCCCUCUCCUCCUGCUGUUCCCCUGCCCCAUCAGUCACCUUUCUGGGUUUAAAACCCCCUUUUCUCCAACUCCUGUAAUUUCUAUUUAUCUUUGAGCCAAAAGUGAACCCAUCUUCUCCAUGACUGGGGAACCAUCUUCUUCCCUCAAAUCAUCAAAAUAAAAAAUUGGGUUUCCCAUUGAGAAACCAGAGCAAAGAGGGACCCUCUACAAUGCUGAAUUUGAAGUAGUAUAUUAAAAUAAUAAUUCAUUUAAAAUUUAUUUAUUUCUUUUUCUCAAUCUUUUUGGAAAUAAAAGAUAAUCUAAACAAUUUUUUAUUCUAAUUUUUUUAAUAUUCAAAUAUAUAUAAACUCCAUUUAAUUUUAUUUUCCCCACGGCUUUUAAUUAAAAAUUCAAAUAAAAUAUUCUGUAAAAAAUGAUAUGAAAAUUAAAUGCAUUCAUAAUUCUAAAAAAAAAUGUUUUUUUUAACAAAUAAUUUAAGAAUACAGGAGUUAGACACUUUCGUUUUUUUAUUACAAUUUUUUUUUGAAAAUCCGCGCCAAUCGUCUACGGACGACACCACCGUGGAGCCGAGCUCCAGUUCUGUAGCUUUAUUCCUUGUUUGGCAAAACCCCCAAACCCUAAAAGCCCAAAGUCCUAGCUCUUUUUUCUCGGGUGAAUUUUCUCGGCAUUUCCAUGGAAACUGGGGGUAGCAGUGAAAUCCCUACUGAGCCAAAGAAGACCAAAUCCAAGACAGCUAGAAAGCCCAAAGAAAAUCCUCUCAAGCAGAGUAAGUCUUUUAUUCUAAUUCUCAUUUAUUUUGCUUUUGCAGAGUGUUUGGUUCCUGAUAAAAUAGGGAGGGAAAAAAGGAAACUGUUUAUCUAGUUGUAGCUUGCUGGAAAUGUUUCAAUAGUAAGAAAAAUAGAAAUCCAAAAUAGAAAUUUCGCAUGUUUUGUUUUUCUCUGUUUUCCCGGCAACCAAACAGAAGUUGUAGAUUCUGUUUGAGUAACUGUUUUUCUUCUUGUAGAAUCUCCCGCGGAGUUCUUUGCAGAGAACAAGAACAUUGCUGGAUUUGACAAUGUAAGUUCCAUACUCAGAUUUGAAUUUUAUUUUUAUUUUUUAGUUCUAUAAAUGUUUUAGUUCCAAAAUAUGUGUUUUGAUCUCUGUGUAAGCUUGUUUGUGUAAUAUCACUUCGAGAAUCAAAUUUGGGGAUUGUAUGAGGAAUGAUGCAAAACUUUUGUUAAAAUUCUGCAAGUAGUCAUGACUGAAAAUCAUUUGGUGGUAUCACAAUUAUUUGGAGGCGGCUGGGCCAAAUCGAGGUCAGAUUAGGUUGGAAAACAAUUCUUUGUAUAAAAAAAUGAAGAGUGUGAUGUUGGAUGGCAGUGAUAGAAUUAGGCAACUAUUUGCCAAAUUUGUGUUGUGUAUUGAAUAAUGGAAUCACUGUGUUCGCUGAUUGUAACCAUUCAAACGCGCCCAAACUAAAUUCAUAAGAAAACUUAGUUGAAAAUUUCUGCUGUGAAUUUAGUCACAAUUCCAUAAAGGCAAAUAAUAGGAAAAAGUCACUAAGUUCAGUUGUGUUAUUGAGUAAGAUAAGAAUUUGUUGAAAUUUCAGCUAAAUAUUAGAAAAACUUAGAAUGAAGGAA